UUAUGUAAAACCUGAAAGAUUUGAAGUUCAAGAAACAAAUGUCCCAAUAACACUGCCAAUUGACAAUGACACACAGCUUAAUGAAUUUGAGCAAUACAUUUCUAUUACUGAAAAUUAUAAGACCAUGAUAUCAAAAUUUAGUCAUAUUGGAGGUAAUGGUGCUGCAGGGAUUACUAGAAAAAUAAUGAAAAAUCUUAUAACGUCUAAGUUUGCGAUUAAUUUUAAUUGGGGAGGAAGGGUUCCAAAGAGGCCUUUUAAAGAACUUAAAUCAAUGCAUUUGCUUCUUGAUUCUGUACGUAAAGCACUUCCUUCGGCGUCAACGCAAGAAAUUGAAUCAGCUAUUAAAGAUUGGCUGAAACAAGCCAAGACGAGAGUUAGGUUGCAUAAUU
This is a long non-coding RNA of Camponotus floridanus (Florida carpenter ant), 389 nucleotides long. RefSeq lists it as uncharacterized. Lineage: Eukaryota; Metazoa; Arthropoda; Insecta; Hymenoptera; Formicidae. The record is from RefSeq and is a predicted model, not a curated record. The transcript has 3 exons.